CGGGGUGCACCAGGCGCGAAAACUUUGCAAUACACGAAAGUGUGACAGGGCUAUCCCGAGUGCCAUCCGCUGAGGAAGGCUUUUACCCAGUCUAGAACGCUGGGGGAAUAAGGAGAGGGCAAGUCUGGUGUCAGCCGCCGCGGUAAUACCAGCUCUCCGAGUGGUGUGGAUGUUUAUUGGGCCUAAAGCAUCCGUAGCUGGCUAAGUUAGUCCCUUGUUAAAUCCACCGAAUUAAUCGUUGGAUUGCGGGGGAUACUGCUUGGCUAGGGGACGAGAGAGGCAGACGGUAUUUCCGGGGUAGGGGUGAAAUCCUAUAAUCCCGGGAAGACCACCAGUGGCGAAGGCUGUCUGCUAGAACGCGCCCGACGGUGAGGGAUGAAAGCUGGGGGAGCGAACCGGAUUAGAUACCCGGGUAGUCCCAGCUGUAAACGAUGCAGGCUAGGUGUUUGGACGGCCAUGUGCCGUUCUAGUGCCGCAGGGAAGCUGUUAAGCCUGCCGCCUGGGGAGUACGAUCGCAAGAUUGAAACUUAAAGGAAUUGG
This 540-nucleotide ribosomal RNA is filed under the name uncultured archaeon. Its description in RNAcentral is "bacterial SSU rRNA". It matches the Rfam family "Archaeal small subunit ribosomal RNA", at positions 326 to 868 of the family's 1478-position model. The record is from RNAcentral.